GAUUAGCUUGUUGGUGAGGUAACGGCUCACCAAGGCGACGAUCCCUAGCUGGUCUGAGAGGAUGACCAGCCACACUGGAACUGAGACACGGUCCAGACUCCUACGGGAGGCAGCAGUGGGGAAUAUUGCACAAUGGGCGCAAGCCUGAUGCAGCCAUGCCGCGUGUAUGAAGAAGGCCUUCGGGUUGUAAAGUACUUUCAGCGGGGAGGAAGGUGUUGCGGUUAAUAACCGCAGCAAUUGACGUUACCCGCAGAAGAAGCACCGGCUAACUCCGUGCCAGCAGCCGCGGUAAUACGGAGGGUGCAAGCGUUAAUCGGAAUUACUGGGCGUAAAGCGCACGCAGGCGGUCUGUCAAGUCGGAUGUGAAAUCCCCGGGCUCAACCUGGGAACUGCAUUCGAAACUGGCAGGCUUGAGUCUUGUAGAGGGGGGUAGAAUUCCAGGUGUAGCGGUGAAAUGCGUAGAGAUCUGGAGGAAUACCGGUGGCGAAGGCGGCCCCCUGGACAAAGACUGACGCUCAGGUGCGAAAGCGUGGGGAGCAAACAGGAUUAGAUACCCUGGUAGUCCACGCCGUAAACGAUGUCUACUUGGAGGUUGUGCCCUUGAGGCGUGGCUUCCGGAGCUAACGCGUUAAGUAGACCGCCUGGGGAGUACGGCCGCAAGGUUAAAACUCAAAUGAAUUGACGGGGGCCCGCACAAGCGGUGGAGCAUGUGGUUUAAUUCGAUGCAACGCGAAGAACCUUACCUGGUCUUGACAUCCACAGAACUUUCCAGAGAUGGAUUGGUGCCUUCGGGAACUGUGAGACAGGUGCUGCAUGGCUGUCGUCAGCUCGUGUUGUGAAAUGUUGGGUUAAGUCCCGCAACGAGCGCAACCCUUAUCCUUUGUUGCCAGCGGUCCGGCCGGGAACUCAAAGGAGACUGCCAGUGAUAAACUGGAGGAAGGUGGGGAUGACGUCAAGUCAUCAUGGCCCUUACGACCAGGGCUACACACGUGCUACAAUGGCGCAUACAAAGAGAAGCGACCUCGCGAGAGCAAGCGGACCUCAUAAAGUGCGUCGUAGUCCGGAUUGGAGUCUGCAACUCGACUCCAUGAAGUCGGAAUCGCUAGUAAUCGUGGAUCAGAAUGCCACGGUGAAUACGUUCCCGGGCCUUGUACACACCGCCCGUCACACCAUGGGAGUGGGUUGCAAAAGAAGUAGGUAGCUUAACCUUCGGGAGGGCGCUUACCACUUUGUGAUUCAUGACUGGGGUGAAGUCGUAACAAGGUAACCGUAGGGGAACCUGCGGUUG
This 1288-nucleotide ribosomal RNA is filed under the name Salmonella enterica subsp. enterica serovar Manhattan. RNAcentral's name for it is "bacterial SSU rRNA". It matches the Rfam family "Bacterial small subunit ribosomal RNA", at positions 239 to 1520 of the family's 1533-position model. Lineage: Bacteria; Pseudomonadati; Pseudomonadota; Gammaproteobacteria; Enterobacterales; Enterobacteriaceae. The record is from RNAcentral.